CCCAGGUCCCUGGUGGUGUGGGUGCCUGAGAGAAUCUCCUGGUCUACAGGUUGAGAAGACUGUGGGAAAAGCAUAGUAUUUGGGCCAGAUAGCACCAGCCCUCACGGCACAGUCCCUCAUUGCUUCCCCUGGCUAGGGGAACAUAAUACUCUAUUUUAAAUCUGCAUUUUAUUUAAUCAUCCUAUCAUCUCCAGGUGCACAUCAUCAUUUUUACGUCAUAGUAAUUUGCCGCAGGACACAGAGUAAGUGGCUGUGAUCAAUUUCCCAGAUACUGCCUGCUCCUUUAGUCUGGGUCUGGAGAUAAUGACCACAUGGAAGACAGAUGCAGCUGAUCUACAACUGAUAUGUAGCCUGAGUGAGAAAUAAACAUUUGCUAUUCCAAGUCA
Non-coding RNA from Macaca mulatta (Rhesus monkey), 386 nucleotides. NCBI's taxonomy places the organism in Eukaryota, Metazoa, Chordata, Mammalia, Primates, Cercopithecidae. The record is from RefSeq and is a predicted model, not a curated record.